This 571-nucleotide ribosomal RNA is filed under the name uncultured bacterium. RNAcentral's name for it is "partial 16S ribosomal RNA". It matches the Rfam family "Bacterial small subunit ribosomal RNA", at positions 355 to 919 of the family's 1533-position model. The record is from RNAcentral.
UGGGGAAUUUUGGACAAUGGGCGAAAGCCUGAUCCAGCAAUGCCGCGUGUGUGAAGAAGGCCUUCGGGUUGUAAAGCACUUUUGUCCGGAAAGAAAUCCUUGGCUCUAAUACAGUCGGGGGAUGACGGUACCGGAAGAAUAAGCACCGGCUAACUACGUGCCAGCAGCCGCGGUAAUACGUAGGGUGCAAGCGUUAAUCGGAAUUACUGGGCGUAAAGCGUGCGCAGGCGGUUUGCUAAGACCGAUGUGAAAUCCCCGGGCUCAACCUGGGAACUGCAUUGGUGACUGGCAGGCUAGAGUAUGGCAGAGGGGGGUAGAAUUCCACGUGUAGCAGUGAAAUGCGUAGAGAUGUGGAGGAAUACCGAUGGCGAAGGCAGCCCCCUGGGCCAAUACUGACGCUCAUGCACGAAAGCGUGGGGAGCAAACAGGAUUAGAUACCCUGGUAGUCCACGCCCUAAACGAUGUCAACUAGUUGUUGGGGAUUCAUUUCCUUAGUAACGUAGCUAACGCGUGAAGUUGACCGCCUGGGGAGUGCGGUCGCAAGAUUAAAACUUAAAGGAAUUGACGGGGU